RNAcentral lists this ribosomal RNA (468 nucleotides) under uncultured bacterium. RNAcentral's name for it is "partial 16S ribosomal RNA". It matches the Rfam family "Bacterial small subunit ribosomal RNA", at positions 28 to 507 of the family's 1533-position model. The record is from RNAcentral.
GACGAACGCUGGCGGCGUGCUUAACACAUGCAAGUCGAACGGAAAGACCCUGCUUUUGUGGGGUGCUCGAGUGGCGAACGGGUGAGUAACACGUGAGUAACCUGCCCUUGACUUUGGGAUAACUUCAGGAAACUGGGGCUAAUACCGGAGAGGAGCUCCUGCUGCAUGGGGGGGGUUGGAAAGUUUCGGCGGUUGGGGAUGGACUCGCGGCUUAUCAGCUGGUUGGUGGGGUAGUGGCGUACCAAGGCUUUGACGGGUAGCCGGCCUGGGAGGGUGGCCGGCCACAUGGGGCCUGCGGUACGCACCAGACUCGAAUGGGACGCAGCGGUCGAGAGCAUUACAGAGUGGGCGGGCGCCAGUGGCGACGACGCCGCGUGCGGGAUGCCCGCCUUCGGGGUGUGAACCGCUUUCGCCUGUGACGAGGCGUGAGUGACGGUAAUGGGUAAAGAAGCACCGGCUAACUACGUG